UACAGGGGGGGCAAGCGUUGUUCGGAAUUACUGGGCGUAAAGGGCUCGUAGGCGGCCAACUAAGUCACACGUGAAAUCCCCAGGCUCAACCUGGGAACUGCGUGUGAUACUGGAUGGCUUGAAUUCGGGAGAGGGAUGCAGAAUUCCAGGUGUAGCGGUGAAAUGCGUAGAUAUCAGGAGGAACACCGGUGGCGAAGGCGGGUCUCUGGGCCGAUACUGACGCUGAGGAGCGAAAGCGUGGGGAGCGAGCAGG
This 253-nucleotide ribosomal RNA is filed under the name uncultured bacterium. RNAcentral describes it as "partial 16S ribosomal RNA". It matches the Rfam family "Bacterial small subunit ribosomal RNA", at positions 524 to 776 of the family's 1533-position model. The record is from RNAcentral.